GCGACCAUGGCCUUGCUGGGCAAGCGCUGUGACGUCCCCACCAACGGCUGCGGACCCGACCGCUGGAACUCCGCCUUCACCCGCAAAGACGAGAUCAUCACCAGCCUCGUGUCUGCCUUAGACUCCAUGUGCUCAGCGCUGUCCAAACUGAACGCCGAGGUGGCCUGUGUCGCCGUGCACGAUGAGAGCGCCUUUGUGGUAGGCACGGAGAAGGGGAGAAUGUUCCUGAAUGCCCGGAAGGAGCUACAGUCAGACUUCCUCAGGUUCUGCCGAGGGCCCCCGUGGAAGGAUCCAGAGGCAGAGCACCCCAAGAAGGUGCAGCGGGGCGAGGGCGGAGGCCGUAGCCUCCCUCGGUCCUCCCUGGAACAUGGCUCAGAUGUGUACCUUCUGCGGAAGAUGGUAGAGGAGGUGUUUGAUGUUCUUUAUAGCGAGGCCCUGGGAAGGGCCAGUGUGGUGCCACUGCCCUACGAGAGGCUGCUCAGGGAGCCAGGGCUGCUGGCCGUGCAGGGGCUGCCCGAGGGCCUGGCCUUCCGAAGGCCGGCCGAGUACGACCCCAAGGCCCUCAUGGCCAUCCUGGAACACAGCCACCGCAUCCGCUUCAAGCUCAAGAGGCCACUUGAGGAUGGCGGGCAGGACUCGAAGGCCCUGGUGGAGCUGAAUGGUGUCUCCCUGAUACCCAAGGGGUCACGGGACUGUGGCCUGCAUGGCCAGGCCCCCAAGGUGCCACCCCAGGACCUGCCCCCCACCGCCACCUCCUCCUCCAUGGCCAGCUUCCUGUACAGCACGGUGCUCCCGAACCACACCAUCCGAGAGCUCAAGCAGGAAGCACCUUCCUGCCCCCUUGCCCCCAGCGACCUGGGCCUGAGCCGGCCCAUGCCAGAGCCCAAGGCCACCGGUGCCCAAGACUUCUCCGACUGUUGUGGACAGAAGCCCACCGGGCCUGGUGGGCCUCUCAUCCAGAACGUCCAUGCCUCCAAGCGCAUUCUCUUCUCCAUCGUCCAUGACAAGUCAGAGAAGUGGGACGCCUUCAUAAAGGAAACCGAGGACAUCAACACGCUCCGGGAGUGUGUGCAGAUCCUGUUUAACAGCAGAUAUGCGGAAGCCCUGGGCCUGGACCACAUGGUCCCUGUGCCCUACCGGAAGAUUGCCUGUGACCCGGAGGCUGUGGAGAUCGUGGGCAUCCCGGACAAGAUCCCCUUCAAGCGCCCCUGCACUUACGGAGUCCCCAAGCUGAAGCGGAUCCUGGAGGAACGCCAUAGCAUCCACUUCAUCAUUAAGAGGAUGUUUGAUGAGCGAAUUUUCACAGGGAACAAGUUUACCAAAGACACCACGAAGCUGGAGCCAGCCAGCCCGCCAGAGGACACCUCUGCAGAGGUCUCUAGGGCCACCGUCCUUGACCUUGCUGGGAAUGCUCGGUCAGACAAGGGCAGCAUGUCUGAAGACUGCGGGCCAGGAACCUCCGGGGAGCUGGGCGGGCUGAGGCCGAUCAAAAUUGAGCCAGAGGAUCUGGACAUCAUUCAGGUCACCAUCCCAGACCCCUCGCCAACCUCUGAGGAAAUGACAGACUCGAUGCCUGGGCACCUGCCAUCAGAGGAUUCUGGUUAUGGAAUGGAGAUGCUGACAGACAAAGGCCUGAGUGAGGACCCGCGGCCCGAGGAGAGGCCCGUGGAGGACAGCCACGGUGACGUGAUCCGGCCCCUGCGGAAGCAGGUGGAGCUGCUCUUCAACACACGAUACGCCAAGGCCAUUGGCAUCUCGGAGCCCGUCAAGGUGCCGUACUCCAAGUUUCUGAUGCACCCGGAGGAGCUGUUUGUGGUGGGGCUGCCUGAAGGCAUCUCCCUCCGCAGGCCCAACUGCUUCGGGAUCGCCAAGCUCCGGAAGAUUCUGGAGGCCAGCAACAGCAUCCAGUUUGUCAUCAAGAGGCCCGAGCUGCUCACUGAGGGAGUCAAAGAGCCCAUCGUGGAUAGUCAAGAAAAUUAUGACGCGAGGCUCUCACGGAUCGACAUCGCCAACACACUAAGGGAGCAGGUCCAGGACCUUUUCAAUAAGAAAUACGGGGAAGCCUUGGGCAUCAAGUACCCGGUCCAGGUCCCCUACAAGCGGAUCAAGAGUAACCCCGGCUCCGUGAUCAUCGAGGGGCUGCCCCCAGGAAUCCCGUUCCGAAAGCCCUGCACCUUCGGCUCCCAGAACCUGGAGAGGAUUCUUGCUGUGGCCGACAAGAUCAAGUUCACAGUCACCAGGCCUUUCCAAGGACUCAUCCCAAAGCCUGGUAAG
RNAcentral lists this small RNA (2274 nucleotides) under Pongo abelii (Sumatran orangutan). RNAcentral describes it as "processed transcript". The record is from RNAcentral. Lineage: Eukaryota; Metazoa; Chordata; Mammalia; Primates; Hominidae.